CGUUACAUCGUUAUCCUUUUUCUCUUCGCCUCUUGAUUUUAGCUUCCGCAAGCAAACCCUAACCCUAAACUUUCUUUUCUUCAUCUUUUUUUUCCUCUCAAUCGCGAUAAUGUCUCACUUCGGAAGGUCAGGCCCGCCCGACAUCACCGACACCUACUCCCUUCUCGUCCUCAACAUUACCUUCCGCACGACUGCUGAUGAUUUGUUUCCGCUCUUCGACAAGUACGGGAAGGUCGUCGACAUCUUCAUUCCCAAAGAUCGAAGGACUGGUGAUUCUCGAGGCUUUGCAUUUGUGCGCUACAAGUAUGCCGAUGAGGCUCAGAAAGCUGUAGAUAGGCUCGAUGGGAGAGUUGUUGAUGGUCGGGAGAUAACUGUUCAGUUUGCAAAAUAUGGGCCUAAUGCAGAGAGAAUUCAGAAAGGAAGGAUUAUUGAAUCAUUUCCAAAGUCAAGAAGCCGCAGUCCUCGCAGAAGGCACCGGGAUGACCAUUAUAAAGAUAAGGAUUAUAGAAGAAGAAGUCGAAGUAGAAGUUAUGACAGAUAUGAACGUGAUCGAUAUCGUGGGAAAGACAGAGAUUCUCGGCGUCGAAGCAGGAGCCGUAGUGCUAGUCCUGUCCAUUCUAAAGGCCGAGGAAGAGGUCGUUACGAUGAUGAUAGGCGAAGUAGAAGUCGAUCAAUGAGUGCUUCUCCUGCUCGGCGUAGCCCUAGUCCUCAGAAGAGUCCUUCCCCACGUAAGACAUCUCCCCCUAGGGGUGAAAGUCCUAGUAGACGGAGCCGUGAUGGACGGUCUCCAAGUCCUCGGAGUGUUUCACCGCAAGGCCGCCCUGCUGAUUCACGGAGCCCAUCUUCUUGAAACUCAUAGAUCAAUGAAUGAUCUUGCUGAUGGCAUUGGAAUUCCUGGAGACUUGGCUUAGCAUGACUCCUGUCGCUAUUUUGUUAAUGUUGAGGACAUUCAAAUAUCAUUUGUUUUCUAGUGUUGCAAUGUUCGGGGAAAGAGUGAGUUGGGCAAAUGGACAUGAUGUUGAUGUUGCUGUUCGUGCUGUUUUUAUCUAUAGAUGAAUGGUCGUGAUUGUGAUGCUGGGUUAUUGCAGUAUGCUGAUUGCAGGGACUGUUUGUUAACUAUUUUUAACUGAAAGAUAUGGUGAUUGGUAAGAGCUAUAGUCAUGUCUUGGUUUCCAGAAAGCUUUGGCCCUCUCUGGUUCCUGAUUUUUGCAUCUGAUUAUCCUUGGGUCUUCUGAUUUCUAAAUAUUGGCUCUGAGGUUUAGUUGCUGUGAUGAUAUUAAAGGACCCAAGAUGAUUUUUUGACCUGUGGAAUGCUGUGUUUGAUGAGCUCUCUGGCAUUAGACCUGAUGUGGUUGCUAAAAAUAAAAAUGUAAUGUCUGGUCUAAACCUUGUAGUUGCAUUAAUUGAACAAAAUAACUUGUUCUUAUUUAAUUGUUUGAUUGUUGUAUUCCAUUAAUCAUGUUAACCGCUCCCUCUUCCUUAAUGUUUUGAGUUGUAGCAACUUUGACCGUGAUUGUAGCUGGGAAGUGGUUGCUGUGCCAAUUCUGUUGUAUGAUACAUAUGGCUUGUGGAUAACCACUGAGUACAAAUUAAUAACCUGUACCAGACUGUUGCUGCCUUGUUGGAUCAUGUUGAAAAUGGUUUUAGCAGUUGCCUAGCUUUCUACCUUGUUUGCUUGUGGCUGGCUGUUGCUGCAAUUCCUGCAGGAUCGUGUCAGUUUUAAUACCUCGGUGUUGAAAUGGAUAUGAUAUGCUGCCCCCUUAUCACAUGUUUGGUCAAGUUUUAUUAUCUUUCCCUGUUUGAAGUUCCUUUGCUAUUAUAGUGAUUUCCUUAUUCUAAUUUUACUCAUAGGACUACAAGCUCGCCCUUGUGCUCUGAGUUUGCUUUAGAUGCUUAAAGAAUGAAAGAACUGAAAAUUUUAGGCAUGCAUACCUUGGUGGCUAAGCAUGUUGAAAGAUGAAUAGACUGGAUGCCAUUGCAGUUUUGUGCUGAUACAUCACGCUAUGUUAUUUCCUUUGAUCACUGCUGGUAUCUGUUGCAUGUAUCAUCUACUUAUAUUCCAAUGAAAAUUUUGAUUGCUCUGA
Molecule: RNA transcript, 2084 nt
Organism: Gossypium raimondii (Peruvian cotton)
Lineage: Eukaryota; Viridiplantae; Streptophyta; Magnoliopsida; Malvales; Malvaceae
Gene name: serine/arginine-rich splicing factor SC35
Exons: 9
Source: RefSeq, a predicted model, not a curated record